This is a long non-coding RNA of Camelus dromedarius (Arabian camel), 556 nucleotides long. RefSeq lists it as uncharacterized. The record is from RefSeq and is a predicted model, not a curated record. The transcript is spliced from 4 exons. NCBI's taxonomy places the organism in Eukaryota, Metazoa, Chordata, Mammalia, Artiodactyla, Camelidae.
GUCGCGGAGUAGCAAGCUCACAGGGUUCUCCGCGCCGCCUGGCCUGUUACUGGAAGAAACGCCUGUGGACAUGGCAUAAAUGGUGGACUAUGGCAGCCAUGAGAUAUGCCGCACAGACCUCUAACUACGGGGAGUGUUCUUGAAAGUUGCCACUCCAUGAUAACAACAAUUGAAAAGCUGAACAGUCUGAAAAAAACUGCUACUUUUCUUGGAUCCAUGAGAGAGGGGAGGACACAGGGCAAAUCACUGCCCCCGAGAUUGGAGAAAAAGGCAGGCCAACAUAAGGAGUCAUGGCUUCCUGUAGCAGAGACUCAUGAGUGGAAACCACCAGGGGAACCAGUGCCAAGAGACUGGACUUCUAACUGAGCUGAAAAUGAAUUACUAUUUCUGGAGCCUGUGACCUUACUGGUGUCGAUUUGCAUGUGGUUUUCUGCUUGGAUGCUUUAGUUUUUGUGAGGUUGAGAAGAGAUUUGUUUUGGUGCAGGAACACCAGCUAGUAAAGACCAACAGAGAGAAUGAAAAGGCUGUUACAGAUACUGUCCCCUUCUUGAGUUGG